Molecule: ribosomal RNA, 302 nt
Filed under: uncultured bacterium
Lineage: Bacteria
Description: partial 16S ribosomal RNA
Rfam family: Bacterial small subunit ribosomal RNA
Source: RNAcentral
GCAGCAGCCGCGGUAAUACGUAGGUGGCAAGCGUUGUCCGGAUUUAUUGGGCGUAAAGCGAGCGCAGGCGGUUAGAGAAGUCUGAAGUGAAAGGCAGUGGCUCGACCAUUAUAGGCUUUGGAAACUGUUUAACUUGAGUGCAGAAGGGGAGAGUGGAAUUCCAUGUGUAGCGGUGAAAUGCGUAGAUAUAUGGAGGAACGCCGGUGGCGAAAGCGGCUCUCUGGUCUGUAACUGACGCUGAGGCUCGAAGGCGUGGGGAGCGAACAGGAUUAGAUACCCGCGUAGUCCCUGUCUCUUAUACC